CCCUAACACAUGCAAGUCGAGCGGCAGCGGGGAGUAGUUUACUACUCUGCCGGCGAGCGGCGGACGGGUGAGUAAUGUCUGGGGAUCUGCCUGAUGGAGGGGGAUAACUACUGGAAACGGUAGCUAAUACCGCAUGACCUCGUAAGAGCAAAGUGGGGGACCUUCGGGCCUCACGCCAUCGGAUGAACCCAGAUGGGAUUAGCUAGUAGGUGAGGUAAUGGCUCACCUAGGCGACGAUCCCUAGCUGGUCUGAGAGGAUGACCAGCCACACUGGAACUGAGACACGGUCCAGACUCCUACGGGAGGCAGCAGUGGGGAAUAUUGCACAAUGGGCGCAAACGGUGAUGCAGCCAUGCCGCGUGUGUGAAGAAGGCCUUCU
Molecule: ribosomal RNA, 379 nt
Filed under: Yersinia intermedia
Lineage: Bacteria; Pseudomonadati; Pseudomonadota; Gammaproteobacteria; Enterobacterales; Yersiniaceae
Description: bacterial SSU rRNA
Rfam family: Bacterial small subunit ribosomal RNA
Source: RNAcentral